Paramuricea clavata is the source of this 215-nucleotide non-coding RNA. Lineage: Eukaryota; Metazoa; Cnidaria; Anthozoa; Malacalcyonacea; Plexauridae. The record is from the annotation of a GenBank genome assembly.
CUGCAACUACUAAAUUCAACGAAAUUGAAACUAAAUUUAUUUAUACUGGAUAGCUUUAUUUGUUGUAGACUACAUGUUCUCACAGAGGUCUGGACUAUAUAUAUAUAGUGGUCCAUAAUUGUAAUUAAACUGUUGUUCGUCGAGGUACAGUGUGAAGAGACACUAAACUAGAUUGCUUCAUUUAAUAUAUUCAGUGGAUAAGUUUCAAUUUCGCA